UUGCCGUACAGAAACGAUCUCCAUGGCAACUGCUAUUCCCCUCAGCGGAGCAGCAUCGGAUCUUUACCACAGACAAUCACUUCGAAACGAUCGUCCUGCUAGCAAUUGUUUUCCUCUUGUUUUAUUUUAAUGUUUUUUUCUGUUUUACACAGUUGCUUUGCUAAAUACUUGGCAGUGCGUGAAUGGGAAUCAAAGACACAUUUCUGCUUCGCUAGCCCGCUAACGUUAGUGUGGUAGUAAAUUAGUGUAAUGGAUCAGUACGUUAUUCUGGGCAGGAUUGGGGAAGGAGCUCACGGAAUUGUUUUCAAAGCCAAACACAUCGAGACAGGAGAGACGGUGGCUUUGAAAAAAGUAGCUCUGCGAAGACUUGAAGAUGGAAUUCCAAACCAGGCCCUACGAGAAAUCAAAGCCCUGCAAGAGAUUGAGGACAACCAAUAUGUGGUGAAGCUGAAGGACGUCUUCCCCCACGGUACAGGCUUUGUGCUGGUGUUUGAGUACAUGUUGUCAGAUCUGUCAGAAGUCAUUCGGAAUUCCCAGCGUCCUCUCACCGCAUCCCAGGUCAAAGGUUACAUGAUGAUGCUGCUGAAAGGAGUGGCUUUCUGCCACGAGAACUCCAUCAUGCACCGGGAUCUGAAGCCUGCAAACCUUCUAAUCAGCUCGACGGGUCACCUGAAGAUCGCUGACUUCGGUCUGGCCAGGCUCUUUUCCAAUGAAGGAGUUCGUCUGUACAGUCACCAGGUGGCCACCAGAUGGUACAGAGCGCCAGAACUUUUGUAUGGUGCCCGGAAAUAUGAUGAAGGAGUUGAUCUCUGGGCAGUGGGCUGUAUUUUUGGGGAGCUGUUGAACAACUCUCCACUUUUCCCCGGGGAGAAUGACAUUGAGCAGUUGUGUUGUGUGUUACGAGUGCUGGGAACUCCCAACCACAAAGUUUGGCCAGAAAUAACAGAACUACCAGACUGCAAUAAGAUCACGUUUAAAGAAAACCCCCCCAUUCCUUUGGAGGAGAUCGUGCCUGACACGUCAACGCAAGCUGUGGACCUGCUGAAGAAGUUCCUCGUCUAUCCAUCCAAACAGAGGAUCAGUGCUAGACAGGCUUUGCUCCAUCCGUAUUUCUUCACAGACCCUCUCCCGGCUCAUCACUCAGAGCUGCCCAUCCCUCAGCGUGGAGGAAAGCACUCCAGACCGCAUGCAACCCCCUUAUGAAUUCACAGUGGAUCGACCUUUACACGAGAGCUUGGUGGACCCCAGUCUGAUCCAGAGACAUGCGCGGAGCUGUUUAUGACAGCGUGCAGACUGAUGUGGGAUAUUUCCAGACUUUUUUGUGCAUUUGUACUCAUUUCGGCACCACUUUUGCUGAAGCUGACCUGUCUUUGGCUCCGCCCACUGUCCCCACAUGUCUAACCUCAAUCACCCACAAUGCCAGAGCACAGAAACCUUCACACAUAAAGUUCUGCCCCAUCAGCGGCGCUCAUCUUCAUCGCAGACACCUGUCCUGAAGACUGAAGAGAUAAGCUCAGUUCCUGACAGACAUGGAGACCUCCGUUGAACAGGCUCGCUGGGUUUCCUCCUCCAUGGCAUCAUCAGAGGUGAU
Sinocyclocheilus rhinocerous is the source of this 1591-nucleotide RNA transcript. It is a transcript of the gene named cyclin-dependent kinase 20-like, with no coding region annotated. The transcript is spliced from 10 exons. The record is from RefSeq and is a predicted model, not a curated record. NCBI's taxonomy places the organism in Eukaryota, Metazoa, Chordata, Actinopteri, Cypriniformes, Cyprinidae.